This 238-nucleotide ribosomal RNA is filed under the name uncultured Lactobacillus sp. Its description in RNAcentral is "partial 16S ribosomal RNA". It matches the Rfam family "Bacterial small subunit ribosomal RNA", at positions 125 to 354 of the family's 1533-position model. Lineage: Bacteria; Bacillati; Bacillota; Bacilli; Lactobacillales; Lactobacillaceae. The record is from RNAcentral.
CCGUGCCCAAGAGAUCGGGAUAACACCUGGAAACAGAUGCUAAUACCGGAUAACAACAGAUGAUGCCUAUCAACUGUUUAAAAGAUGGUUCUGCUAUCACUCUUGGAUGGACCUGCGGUGCAUUAGCUAGUUGGUAGGGUAACGGCCUACCAAGGCGAUGAUGCAUAGCCGAGUUGAGAGACUGAUCGGCCACAUUGGGACUGAGACACGGCCCAAACUCCUACGGGAGGCAGCAGAU